UACGGGGGGGGCAAGCGUUGUUCGGAAUUACUGGGCGUAAAGGGCGCGUAGGCGGCCUGUUAAGUCAGACGUGAAAUCCCUCGGCUCAACCGGGGAACUGCGUCUGAUACUGGCGGGCUUGAAUUCGGGAGAGGGAUGUGGAAUUCCAGGUGUAGCGGUGAAAUGCGUAGAUAUCUGGAGGAACACCGGUGGCGAAGGCGACAUCCUGGACCGGUAUUGACGCUGAGGCGCGAAAGCCAGGGGAGCAAACGGG
Molecule: ribosomal RNA, 253 nt
Filed under: uncultured bacterium
Lineage: Bacteria
Description: partial 16S ribosomal RNA
Rfam family: Bacterial small subunit ribosomal RNA
Source: RNAcentral